UACGUAGGGGGCAAGCGUUGUCCGGAUUUAUUGGGCGUAAAGAGCGUGUAGGCGGCUAGGUAGGUCCGUUGUGAAAACUCGAGGCUCAACCUCGAGACGCCGGUGGAAACCAUCUAGCUAGAGUCCGGAAGAGGAGAGUGGAAUUCCUGGUGUAGCGGUGAAAUGCGCAGAUAUCAGGAAGAACACCCGUGCCGAAGGCGGCUCUCUGGGACGUGACUGACGCUGAGACGCGAAAGCGUGGGGAGCGAACAGG
RNAcentral lists this ribosomal RNA (253 nucleotides) under uncultured bacterium. Its description in RNAcentral is "partial 16S ribosomal RNA". It matches the Rfam family "Bacterial small subunit ribosomal RNA", at positions 524 to 776 of the family's 1533-position model. The record is from RNAcentral.